Long non-coding RNA from Acanthopagrus latus (yellowfin seabream), 1326 nucleotides. RefSeq lists it as uncharacterized. The record is from RefSeq and is a predicted model, not a curated record. Lineage: Eukaryota; Metazoa; Chordata; Actinopteri; Spariformes; Sparidae. The transcript is spliced from 9 exons.
AAACAAGAUGGGUGUUUCAGUGACAGAAAUAAUCUUAUUAGUGAUGAUUUAUCAAUGACAAGCAGCAAAACACCUGCGGAAAGAGACAGAUGUACAAGGAUAAUAGCAAUAUCUUUAAAGUCAAGAUUCCAGCUUCUUAAAUGUGGAUAUUUUCUAGUCACUUCACUCCUCUAUGACAACAAGAUGAAUAUCUUUCGACUGAGGACUUCAUUGUGGACAUGCUGAGAAUUAUCAACUAGAGAGUCUGUGGCUGCGCAAAGAUCCAAACUUCAUCAAUCAUUAAUGGUUGACUGCAAAGUGACCUUGCUGGUUUUAAGCUGCAGUGGAGCUGGGAAUAUAAGGAGUUUUCACUCAGUUUCCAAUAAAUGGAGAAGAUGUAGGUUCAGUCUGAUCCAGGUCUGCGGCCUUCAUCUGACUCAGGAUUACGACCUUAUGUUGGACACAGUGAUGUCGGGUUUGCUGUCAUGACCUCUGGAGGGGAAUCCUGGACCUCCAGGGUAGGAGAUGCCUCUCUCUCCCUUCUGUCCUGGAAUACCAGGGGCACCUGGGCGACCUCCGAUGUUCACACCUGGAUACAAACACAACAAAAUCAUCAAAAUCUUCAACAGCCGUCGCUGUUGUUUCUUCUACUUCGUAAGCGAAGACCUUUAGGUCCACCAAGUCCAUUAAGUCCGUCCAAACCAGGGGAUCCAGGCAAGCCUGCAAAAACACAACACGGACCUCCAGGACUUCCAGGACCUCCAGGAGAUCCGUCUCCUCCUCUUCUUCCAGGGUAGCCGGACUGUCCCUUUGGCCCAGGGAAACCAGGAGAGCCUGCAGAGGACGACCUCCUUCACCAGGAGCUCCUUUCGCUCCGGGGUAACCUGGACCUCCUGGGAAGCCAUUGUCACCGGGGGUGCCGUCGUUGCCACGCCCACCUGAGGAAGAGAUAAACACCUGGUGAAUUGUGGGUUUUAACCAUCUUCUCAGAGCUACGGCAGCUCCUGAAGCUCCAGGAUAACCAAACGUAUCUCCGGGUUGACCUGAGGAACAAAACAUACAUGCCAGGGAAUCCCAUGAUUCCAGGUUCUCCCUUUGGUCCGGGGUAGCCUGGACCUCCCGGUCGCCCUGGGAACCCAGGAUCUCCCCGCUGUCCUUUACUCUGCUCGGCAUAACCAGGAAGUCCAGGGAGACCCUGACGACCAGGAAGUCGUGUUACCUCUGGGUCCGGGGAAACCAGGAAGGCCGCUGCUCCCGGGGGUUCCAGGUUCUCCUUUCUCCACAUACUCUUGUCUAACAGGAGGAGAGGGCAAGCCAGGGGGUCCAGGGUUUCCUCUGUCACCUGCA